AUUGAACGCUGGCGGCAGGCCUAACACAUGCAAGUCGAACGGCAGCGGGGGAUAGCUUGCUGUCCUGCCGGCGAGUGGCGGACGGGUGAGUAAUGCAUGGGGAGCUGCCCAGUCGAGGGGGAUAACAACUGGAAACGGUUGCUAAUACCGCAUACGCCCUAAGGGGGAAAGGUGGGGAACUUUGGUCCAACCGCGAUUGGAUGAGCCAAUGUGGGAUUAGCUAGUUGGUGAGGUAACGGCUCACCAUGGCGACGAUUUCUAGCGGGUCUGAAAGGAUGACCAGCCACACUAGAACUGAGACACGGUCCAGACUCCUACGGGAGGCAGCAGUGGGGAAUAUUGCACAAGGGGGGAAACCCUGAUGCAGCCAUGCCGCGUGUGUGAAGAAGGCCUUCGGGUUGUAAAACACUUUCAGUCAGGAGGAAGGGGUGAUGGCUAAUAUCCAUCAUCAUUGACGUUACUGACAGAAGAAGCACCGGCUAACUCCGUGCCAGCAGCCGCCGUAA
This 506-nucleotide ribosomal RNA is filed under the name uncultured bacterium. RNAcentral describes it as "partial 16S ribosomal RNA". It matches the Rfam family "Bacterial small subunit ribosomal RNA", at positions 30 to 523 of the family's 1533-position model. The record is from RNAcentral.